GAAGCUGGAAUUGCUGUAAUGGCAGGUCAGCAUACUGCCGUGAAUACGUUCCCGGGCCUUGUACACACCGCCCGUCACACCAUGAGAGUUGGGAAUACCCGAAGCCUGUGAGCUAACUUAUAGAGGCAGCAGUCGAAGGUAGAAUCAAUGAUUGGGGUGAAGUCGUAACAAGGUACC
RNAcentral lists this ribosomal RNA (177 nucleotides) under uncultured bacterium. RNAcentral's name for it is "partial 16S ribosomal RNA". It matches the Rfam family "Bacterial small subunit ribosomal RNA", at positions 1322 to 1500 of the family's 1533-position model. The record is from RNAcentral.